GAUGAACGCUGGCGGCGUGCCUAAUACAUGCCAGUCGAGCGAACGGACGAGAAGCUUGCUUCUCUGAUGUUAGCGGCGGACGGGUGAGUAACACGUGGAUAACCUACCUAUAAGACUGGGAUAACUUCGGGAAACCGGAGCUAAUACCGGAUAAUAUUUUGAACCGCAUGGUUCAAAAGUGAAAGACGGCCUUGCUGUCACUUAUAGAUGGAUCCGCGCUGCAUUAGCUAGUUGGUAAGGUAACGGCUUACCAAGGCAACGAUGCAUAGCCGACCUGAGAGGGUGAUCGGCCACACUGGAACUGAGACACGGUCCAGACUCCUACGGGAGGCAGCAGUAGGGAAUCUUCCGCAAUGGGCGAAAGCCUGGCGGAGCAACGCCGCGUGAGUGAUGAAGGUCUUCGGAUCGUAAAACUCUGUUAUUAGGGAAGAACAUAUGUGUAAGUAACUGUGCACAUCUUGACGGUACCUAAUCAGAAAGCCACGGCUAACUACGUG
Molecule: ribosomal RNA, 497 nt
Filed under: uncultured bacterium
Lineage: Bacteria
Description: partial 16S ribosomal RNA
Rfam family: Bacterial small subunit ribosomal RNA
Source: RNAcentral